GCCAGGCAUAGUGGCACAUGCCUAUGGUCCCAGCUACUCAGGAGGCUGAGGUGGGAGGAUCACUUGAGCCCAGGAGAUCGAGACUGCAGUGAGCUGUGAUUGUGCCACUGCACUCUAGCCUGGGUGACAGAGUGAGACCCUGCCUCAA
This is an unclassified non-coding RNA of Pongo abelii (Sumatran orangutan), 148 nucleotides long. It matches the Rfam family "Metazoan signal recognition particle RNA". Rfam says of the family: The signal recognition particle (SRP) is a universally conserved ribonucleoprotein. It is involved in the co-translational targeting of proteins to membranes. Lineage: Eukaryota; Metazoa; Chordata; Mammalia; Primates; Hominidae. The record is from Ensembl.